Molecule: unclassified non-coding RNA, 248 nt
Filed under: air metagenome
Description: partial contains small subunit ribosomal RNA, internal transcribed spacer 1, and 5.8S ribosomal RNA
Rfam family: Eukaryotic small subunit ribosomal RNA (bases 1-46)
Source: RNAcentral
AAGUCGUAACAAGGUUUCCGUAGGUGAACCUGCGGAAGGAUCAUUAGUGAAUAUUAGGGUGCUCUCUUUUGAGAGACCUGACCUCCACUUUUCAACUCUGUGCACUCAUGGCGAAUAUUCUCCGGAGAUGAGUCUUCAUUGACUCUGAAGCGGAUGAAUGUUUGCGGCUUUACUUUAUUAACUCUAAGUUAAAGAAUGUAAGUAAUCAUAACAAAAAAAAACUUUCAACAACGGAUCUCUUGGCUCUC